This 465-nucleotide ribosomal RNA is filed under the name uncultured bacterium. RNAcentral describes it as "bacterial SSU rRNA". It matches the Rfam family "Bacterial small subunit ribosomal RNA", at positions 329 to 792 of the family's 1533-position model. The record is from RNAcentral.
UGCCAGACUCCUACGGGAGGCAGCAGUGAGGAAUAUUGGUCAAUGGGCGGGAGCCUGAACCAGCCAAGCCGCGUGAAGGAAGAAGGCGCCAGGCGUCGUAAACUUCUUUUGUCGGGGAACAAAGGGCGCCACGCGUGGCGUUGUGAGUGUACCCGAAGAAAAAGCAUCGGCUAACUCCGUGCCAGCAGCCGCGGUAAUACGGAGGAUGCGAGCGUUAUCCGGAUUUAUUGGGUUUAAAGGGUGCGUAGGCGGACAGUCAAGUCAGCGGUAAAAAUGCGGUGCUCAACGCCGUACAGCCGUUGAAACUGGCAGUCUUGAGUGGGCGAGAAGUAUGCGGAAUGCGUGGUGUAGCGGUGAAAUGCAUAGAUAUCACGCAGAACUCCGAUUGCGAAGGCAGCAUACCGGCGCCCGACUGACGCUGAGGCACGAAAGCGUGGGUAUCGAACAGGAUUAGAUACCCGUGUA